This 636-nucleotide ribosomal RNA is filed under the name uncultured bacterium. RNAcentral describes it as "bacterial SSU rRNA". The stretch from base 1 to 532 matches the Rfam family "Bacterial small subunit ribosomal RNA", at positions 338 to 873 of the family's 1533-position model. The record is from RNAcentral.
CCUACGGGAGGCAGCAGUGGGGAAUCUUGCGCAAUGGCCGAGAGGCUGACGCAGCGACGCCGCGUGGGGGAUGAAGCAUUUCGGUGUGUAAACCCCUGUUGCUCGGGACGAACGACCCUUUUCGAGGGGUGUGACGGUACCGAGUGAGGAAGCACCGGCUAACUCCGUGCCAGCAGCCGCGGUAAUACGGAGGGUGCGAGCGUUGUCCGGAAUCACUGGGCGUAAAGGGCGCGUAGGUGGUUGGAUGCGCCGGUGGUGAAAGCGCAGGGCUCAACCCUGCGUCGGCCAUCGGGACGGUCCGACUGGAGCACUGUAGAGGCAGGUGGAAUUCCGGGUGUAGCGGUGGAAUGCGUAGAGAUCCGGAAGAACACCGGUGGCGAAGGCGGCCUGCUGGGCAGUUGCUGACACUGAGGCGCGACAGCGUGGGGAGCAAACAGGAUUAGAUACCCUGGUAGUCCACGCCGUAAACGAUGGGCACUAGGUGCUUGGGGGAGNGACCCCCUGAGUGCGACGCUACGCAUAAGUGCCCGCCGCGGGGAGGUACGACCGGACCGAAGGUUAAGGUAAACGUACGUUAAAGUUAGUAAGUUAGUUACGGCGUUGAGACGUGCCGACGGACGACGACGAGGGAGGAGG